Molecule: ribosomal RNA, 348 nt
Filed under: uncultured bacterium
Lineage: Bacteria
Description: partial 16S ribosomal RNA
Rfam family: Bacterial small subunit ribosomal RNA
Source: RNAcentral
GAUGAACGCUAGCGGCAGGCCUAAUACAUGCAAGUCGAACGGCCCCGACACUUCGGUGUCGGGGUAGUGGCGCACGGGUGCGUAACGCGUACACAACAUACCCUUUACGAGGGGGAUAGCGGCGGGAAACUGGCCAGUAAUACCCCAUGUCCUUGCGAGGUGGCAUCAUUUUUGCAAAGAAAGUUCAAGCGGUAAAGGAUUGGGUGUGCGUCCGAUUAGCUAGUUGGGCCGGGGUAACGGCCCACCAAGGCGACGAUCGGGUAGGGGGGUNUGAGAGCAUGGCCCCCCCANACGGGUACUGAGACACGGACCCGACUCCUACGGGGAGGCAGCAGUAAGGAAUAUUGG